This 215-nucleotide long non-coding RNA is filed under the name Lathyrus oleraceus (garden pea). Its description in RNAcentral is "Pisum sativum (pea) long non-coding RNA (PSAT_LNC036330)". Lineage: Eukaryota; Viridiplantae; Streptophyta; Magnoliopsida; Fabales; Fabaceae. The record is from RNAcentral.
UCGUGUACAUGGUGGAAUGUGCGUUUGGAUCCACUUGAUUUGCCACCUCAAUUAAUGAGGGAGAUCAAGUGGUCCACAUUUUUUCUGAAUAUUUGAAUUUCAUUUUAUUUCCUUUAAUUUCAUUAGUUCAUAUUAAUUUUAAUAUUGAUCCAAAAAAUAUGGGAGUUUCACCAAUUUUUUUUAAAUAAAAUCCUCUUUCAUUUUCUGAAUUAAAA